GGAUCAUGAAUUGACCUCUUUGGAUACUUUGUGUUUCAGGAAGUAAUGGGUCUUAGUAGGAAAGCAGAACUUGCCAGGGAGAGAUAUCUCUCUUGAAUUGCCGAUGAAAAUCGAUUGCAUCAUCUUAAGACUAAAAGCGAUUACAGUACGCCCUCUCGUGAUUAUGAAUCACUGUCUGAACCUUCUUUGGAACGACAAAGAGCAACAUUUGAAAAAUGGGAAAUUGUAUUAAUGGCGGAGGUUCGUGAUUUGCGUCGUAAGAUGGCCGAACGGUUCACUAAACCAUCUAAACUUUCUUAUGAAGAUGUAGUGGAGGUAUCUUAGAGUGUUAUCUCUGUAGUGGAGUCAUUAUAAUGUUUUAUCUCUGUAGUGGAGUUAUCUUAAUGAGUUAGUUCAUAUCUUGGAGAUAUCUUGGAGUGUUAUCUUAUAUCUUGGAGAUAUCUUGAAGUGUUAUCUUAUAUCUUGGAGGUAUAUCUUGAAGUGUUAUCUCAUGUCGUAGAGAUAUCUUAAAGUGUUAUCUCGCAGAAAAAUCGUAAUGUGUUAUCACACAUAUCUUGGACUUGAAGGUAUCUUAAAGAGUUAUUAUAAGUGAAAUUUCCCUUACAUAUAACCUCGAUAAGGUAGGAUUAAUUUUCUUGGAUAAAUAUUUCAGCUGCCACCAUUCGUGUGUACUGUCUAACAAGACAACAGAACAAUGCGUCGUCCCAAACUCUCUCCAAAAACAAACACCUCCCCCCCCGCCUUAUCAAUGGCAUAUUAGUUCUAAUGUAAGUUUUGUAAUUUUCUUCGCGCUUUUGUAAGCAUUAUUUUCUUUUCAAUUUUGACGGUUUCGCGAAAAUCUUUUAUUAAAGUUAUGAAAAACGCUUUGAAAAUGCGUUAAAGGUGAAACAUUUUACAAUCGUUGGCUCACCACAGCAAGCGGAAAAUUUUGGAGAAAUUCUCGUAUAAAUAGAACGCAGCAUUAACUCGUGAUGUACUUGGUCAGGAUGCCAGCUAAAGUUCCCCGAACGUGUAUAAAGUUGAAACUUGUGAACCGGUCGAAACAGUCCAGUUUCCAAAACACAAAACGAUCAACUUGCUUUGCAAACUUUCGAUUGUCGAACAAAAUAAACACGUGCCUUAUGUCCUUGCAACACAGAUGCUGAAGGAUAGCAGUGAGAGGUGUUUCUAUGGCAACGUGUGCACGUGAUUCUAGGAAUAUAUUGUAACAACUUCAUCUCCGCCUCCUUUCACCAAGAGCACUCUUUUUAAUCCUUCUGUCAUCACUUCAACUAAUUCCAUACCUGAACACACAUUGUUAAGGUAAAUUAUUGAACAUCAUUCAACCGAUUGUCCACGAGGAUAAAGAACAUCAAAGAAGAGUCGGUUUGUUGAAUCAAUUCAUGUUCACAGAUUGUGAAAUGGGUUGAUCAAUGGGAAACAAAUCAGGAUUCAUAGGUAUAAUGAAGUACUAUUAAAGGAUACAGUUAUAGCCACCCGAUUCGUCUCUGAUUGGCGGAGGCAAAUUUAGAAGUAUGAGCUGAGCAUCCAAAGAUUUUUCUUUUAUCAGUUUAUUUAACUUGACGGCGUUGUCCAUUCUUCGUACAUUAAUACGGCUUCUAUAUACAAGAAAAUAGAGAAAUAAAGUCAAUUAUUUAUAUA
Xenia sp. Carnegie-2017 is the source of this 1641-nucleotide long non-coding RNA. RefSeq lists it as uncharacterized. The record is from RefSeq and is a predicted model, not a curated record. NCBI's taxonomy places the organism in Eukaryota, Metazoa, Cnidaria, Anthozoa, Malacalcyonacea, Xeniidae. The transcript has 2 exons.